GUCCACGCUGUAAACGAUGGGCACUAGGUGUUGUGAAUUAUAAAAUUCGCAGUGCCGCAGCUAACGCAUUAAGUGCCCCGCCUGGGGAUUACGGCCGCAAGGCUAAAACUCAAAGGAAUUGACGGGGACCCCGCACAAGCGGUGGAGCAUGUGGUUUAAUUCGACGCAACGCGAAAACCUUACCUGGGUUAAAUCCUUGGGAACCCUUCGGAAAUGAAGGGGUGCUCUGUAUAAGAGAGCCCAAGAGACGGUGCUGCAUGGCUGUCGU
RNAcentral lists this ribosomal RNA (268 nucleotides) under uncultured bacterium. RNAcentral's name for it is "partial 16S ribosomal RNA". It matches the Rfam family "Bacterial small subunit ribosomal RNA", at positions 793 to 1055 of the family's 1533-position model. The record is from RNAcentral.